RNAcentral lists this ribosomal RNA (1492 nucleotides) under uncultured Bacteroidaceae bacterium. RNAcentral describes it as "bacterial SSU rRNA". It matches the Rfam family "Bacterial small subunit ribosomal RNA". The record is from RNAcentral. Lineage: Bacteria; Pseudomonadati; Bacteroidota; Bacteroidia; Bacteroidales; Bacteroidaceae.
AGAGUUUGAUCCUGGCUCAGGAUGAACGCUAGCUACAGGCUUAACACAUGCAAGUCGAGGGGCAGCAUGGUCUUAGCUUGCUAAGGCCGAUGGCGACCGGCGCACGGGUGAGUAACACGUAUCCAACCUGCCGUCUACUCUUGGACAGCCUUCUGAAAGGAAGAUUAAUACAAGAUGGCAUCAUGAGUCCGCAUGUUCACAUGAUUAAAGGUAUUCCGGUAGACGAUGGGGAUGCGUUCCAUUGGAUAGUAGGCGGGGUAACGGCCCACCUAGUCUUCGAUGGAUAGGGGUUCUGAGAGGAAGGUCCCCCACAUUGGAACUGAGACACGGUCCAAACUCCUACGGGAGGCAGCAGUGAGGAAUAUUGGUCAAUGGGCGAGAGCCUGAACCAGCCAAGUAGCGUGAAGGAUGACUGCCCUAUGGGUUGUAAACUUCUUUUAUAAAGGAAUAAAGUCGGGUAUGGAUACCCGUUUGCAUGUACUUUAUGAAUAAGGAUCGGCUAACUCCGUGCCAGCAGCCGCGGUAAUACGGAGGAUCCGAGCGUUAUCCGGAUUUAUUGGGUUUAAAGGGAGCGUAGAUGGAUGUUUAAGUCAGUUGUGAAAGUUUGCGGCUCAACCGUAAAAUUGCAGUUGAUACUGGAUAUCUUGAGUGCAGUUGAGGCAGGCGGAAUUCGUGGUGUAGCGGUGAAAUGCUUAGAUAUCACGAAGAACUCCGAUUGCGAAGGCAGCCUGCUAAGCUGCAACUGACAUUGAGGCUCGAAAGUGUGGGUAUCAAACAGGAUUAGAUACCCUGGUAGUCCACACGGCAAACGAUGAAUACUCGCUGUUUGCGAUAUACUGCAAGCGGCCAAGCGAAAGCGUUAAGUAUUCCACCUGGGGAGUACGCCGGCAACGGUGAAACUCAAAGGAAUUGACGGGGGCCCGCACAAGCGGAGGAACAUGUGGUUUAAUUCGAUGAUACGCGAGGAACCUUACCCGGGCUUAAAUUGCAGAUGAAUUACGGUGAAAGCCGUAAGCCGCAAGGCAUCUGUGAAGGUGCUGCAUGGUUGUCGUCAGCUCGUGCCGUGAGGUGUCGGCUUAAGUGCCAUAACGAGCGCAACCCUUGUUGUCAGUUACUAACAGGUUCUGCUGAGGACUCUGACAAGACUGCCAUCGUAAGAUGUGAGGAAGGUGGGGAUGACGUCAAAUCAGCACGGCCCUUACGUCCGGGGCUACACACGUGUUACAAUGGGGGGUACAGAGGGCCGCUACCACGCGAGUGGAUGCCAAUCCCAAAAACCUCUCUCAGUUCGGACUGGAGUCUGCAACCCGACUCCACGAAGCUGGAUUCGCUAGUAAUCGCGCAUCAGCCACGGCGCGGUGAAUACGUUCCCGGGCCUUGUACACACCGCCCGUCAAGCCAUGGGAGCCGGGGGUACCUGAAGUGCGUAACCGCGAGGAGCGCCCUAGGGUAAAACUGGUGACUGGGGCUAAGUCGUAACAAGGUAACCGUA